Non-coding RNA from Phascolarctos cinereus (koala), 567 nucleotides. The record is from RefSeq and is a predicted model, not a curated record. Lineage: Eukaryota; Metazoa; Chordata; Mammalia; Diprotodontia; Phascolarctidae.
CUUUGCUUACUUGUUGUGUUUGAGUGAGAGAGACAUGCUGCAAGCCUCUGGAUGGGUAGGAGACUUGGGCCCUCUCCACCUGGGGCUCAUAGGUGGCAUAUAAAUAUGGGUCUCUGUGGUUUGCUUCUUUGCAUUUUUUUCUUUCCUACUUUUAGGUUAAAAUGUAUUAUAGACUGCUAUGACUACGUAAGUUUCAAAAGGUCGGAAUGGUGAGCCCACCAGAAGUCUGGGAGCAAGAGUGCAUGUAGAGAUUGCAACCAACUGAAAGUGGUUCACCAGCCCAGCCCCUGGAUCCAGCUCAGAGACUCAGGUCACGAUAAGGAUUCACUGAACAUUUUUGAGUAGAAGAAUGACAUGGCCAGAUCUGUGAAUUACUCUGACAGAAGUAUGAAGGAUGGAUUGGAGAAAGAGGAGACCAGUAAAGAGGCCAUUAAAAUGAUCCAGAUGAGAGGUACGCAAAAUUGGAGGGAAAUGUGGUAAACACUGACACAUAUGCCAGGAACUGAGUUGUUCGCCGUCGGGUCGUUGUUGUUCAGUCGUGUCCCACUCUUGGUGACCCCAUUUGGA